CAGUCGCCGCGGUAAUACGUAGGGUGCGAGCGUUAAUCGGAAUUACUGGGCGUAAAGCGUGCGCAGGCGGUUGUGUAAGACAGGUGUGAAAUCCCCGGGCUUAACCUGGGAACUGCGCUUGUGACUGCACGGCUAGAGUAUGGCAGAGGGGGGUGGAAUUCCACGUGUAGCAGUGAAAUGCGUAGAGAUGUGGAGGAACACCGAUGGCGAAGGCAGCCCCCUGGGCCAAUACUGACGCUCAUGCACGAAAGCGUGGGGAGCAAACAGGAUUAGAUACCCGCGUAGUCCCUGUCUCUUAUAC
This 301-nucleotide ribosomal RNA is filed under the name uncultured bacterium. Its description in RNAcentral is "partial 16S ribosomal RNA". It matches the Rfam family "Bacterial small subunit ribosomal RNA", at positions 509 to 807 of the family's 1533-position model. The record is from RNAcentral.